CCAUCCCAUCCCAUCCCAUCCCAUCCCUCUCCUCCUCACCCCUAUGCACCCAUUGCUCUUCUGUUCACCUGCCCUCCCUCCCCUUCUCAACAACAGUUCACCCAUCCACAAUGCUCCCCAUGUUACCUUCUGGAUCUGGGCUUGUUGUGGGAUGUGUGCUCCAAACGGUACCUUCUGGGCCUGGUUCUGAUUUGGGAUGUGUACUCUCCAUGGUGCCUUCUAGACCUGCUUCUGCUGAAGGAUGUGUGCUCCACAUGGUACUUUCUGGCCCUGGUUCUGCUGAAGGAUGUGUGCUGCCUCUAGGAUCUGGUUCUGCUGAAGAACCCCUCUGGGUACUGUUCAGAUUUAGUUCUGACACAGGACGUGUUCUCAUGGUACCUUCUGCACCCAGUUCUGCACCCAUAGGACGUGUGCUCCUCAUGGGGCCUUCAGGACCUGGUCUUGCUGAAGGACGUGGAUCCCAGGUGGUACCACCUGGCCCUAGUUCUGCUGUGGGACGUGUGCUCCAUACAGUAUCAUCCAGGCCCAGUUCUGCUUCAGGACGUGCACUCCGUGUGCUGCCUUCUGGAUCCAGUCUUGUUGGACGAUGUGUGACCCCGAUGUGACCUUCAGGACCCAGUUCUGCUGUGGGAUAUGCGCUCCCCAUGGUACCACCCAGAUCCAGCACUGCUGCAGGAUGAGUGCUCCUUAUGGUCCCCUCUGGACCUGGUCCUCCCACGUGGUGGUUCCUCCACGUGGUAGCACCUACUGGGAGCACCACGGUGGGGGCUGAGUCUUGCCCUGCUUUGGGCCGUGGGUGCCACCCAUCGGUUUGGGUGGCACUAACAGGAUCCCGUCCUACCAGCGUCUGGGUGCUCCUGGUGGCACCAACCAGAUCCCAACCUGCUUUGGGCUUGAUGCCUUGCGUGGUCCCCACCGAAACCCAACGUGUUGGGCUCAUGGUGGUCUGUUUGGCCCCCACCACAACCCGCUCAGCUUUGGGCUGGGUGAUCUGCACAGUGCUGAGCGGAUCCUGUUCUGCUUUGGGGUGGGUGACAUGGAUGGUACCAAUCUGAUCCCGUCCUGCCUUGGACCUGUUGGUGCCAGAUAGAUCCUGUCCCACUUUGGCUUUAGUGGUGCCAACUGGAUCCUGUCCUGCCUUGGAUCUGUUGGUAGCAGGUAGAUCUUGUCCUGCUUUGUGCUUGGUGAUGCCAACUGGAUCCCGUCCUGCCUUGGACGUGUUGGUGCCAGAUAGAUCCUGUCCUGCUUUGGCUUUGGUGGUGCCAACUGGAUCCUGUCCUGCCUUGGAUCUGUUGGUGCCAGCUGUAUUCAGUCCUGCUUUGGGCUUGGUGAUGCCAACUAGAUCCUGUCCUGCCCUGGACUUGUUGGUGCCAGCUGGAUCCCAUCCUG
RNAcentral lists this long non-coding RNA (1389 nucleotides) under Anas platyrhynchos platyrhynchos (common mallard). RNAcentral describes it as "lncRNA (ENSAPLG00000029171.1)". Lineage: Eukaryota; Metazoa; Chordata; Aves; Anseriformes; Anatidae. The record is from RNAcentral.